GUCCCCUUUUUAGCUUUGCCCUCUUAAGGCUGUUAGUGCUUUAAGUGGCCAGUAUGGAGGGGUAAAUUAAUUCUCCCUUAAACCUAGAGUUGAGGAUAGUACUUAACUCUGGAUCCUGUCUGGAGGAACAAAA
Molecule: small nucleolar RNA, 133 nt
Organism: Pogona vitticeps (central bearded dragon)
Lineage: Eukaryota; Metazoa; Chordata; Lepidosauria; Squamata; Agamidae
Source: Ensembl